Sphaeramia orbicularis (orbiculate cardinalfish) is the source of this 225-nucleotide long non-coding RNA. RefSeq lists it as uncharacterized. The transcript is spliced from 4 exons. The record is from RefSeq and is a predicted model, not a curated record. NCBI's taxonomy places the organism in Eukaryota, Metazoa, Chordata, Actinopteri, Kurtiformes, Apogonidae.
CAAUGCUUGAAUCCAUGAAAGUCCUUCCAGAUCAGUGUAUUGUCAGAAUACAGCAUAUGAUUGUGGACCUGUACAGGAAAUAAUUAUGGUGUCUCAGAUACCUGCAACAGAUAAGUCAAAUCUUUGUUCUUAAUAUAAUUAAUGAAAUGGCCCCACACUUUUUCUAAAAUGUCUUCUUUGGAUCUACAAAUACACAAAACAUUUAAUAACAGGCAGAAUAUUGUU